This is a non-coding RNA of Ictidomys tridecemlineatus (thirteen-lined ground squirrel), 72 nucleotides long. The record is from Rfam. NCBI's taxonomy places the organism in Eukaryota, Metazoa, Chordata, Mammalia, Rodentia, Sciuridae.
GGCAGUGUAGCUCAGUGGGAAAGCAUUGGCCUAGUAUGUGCAAAACCCUGGAUUCAAUCCCCAGCACUGCAA